This 253-nucleotide ribosomal RNA is filed under the name uncultured bacterium. RNAcentral describes it as "partial 16S ribosomal RNA". It matches the Rfam family "Bacterial small subunit ribosomal RNA", at positions 524 to 776 of the family's 1533-position model. The record is from RNAcentral.
UACGUAGGGAGCGAGCGUUGUCCGGAUUUACUGGGUGUAAAGGGUGCGUAGGCGGCAAUGCAAGUCAGGCGUGGAAGCUCGGGGCUUAACCCCGAAACUGCGCUUGAAACUGUGUUGCUUGAGUGAAGUAGAGGUAGGCGGAAUUCCCGGUGUAGCGGUGAAAUGCGUAGAGAUCGGGAGGAACACCAGUGGCGAAGGCGGCCUACUGGGCUUUAACUGACGCUGAGGCACGAAAGCAUGGGUAGCAAACAGG